Molecule: transfer RNA, 65 nt
Filed under: Prymnesium neolepis
Lineage: Eukaryota; Haptophyta; Prymnesiales; Prymnesiaceae
Source: RNAcentral
GGCGUUCUGGAGUCCGGCGGUCAACUCCACAUCAGUGACCUGAACACCGGCGAAGUCAUUGCCAG